AUUGCUUCUCGGCCUUUUGGCUAAGAUCAAGUGUAGUAUCUGUUCUUAUCAGUUUAAUAUCUAUAUUUUUUAGGGCAGCAAAGAUGAUUAAGGGGUCGGAGCAUCUCCCUUGCGAGGAAAGGCUGAGAGAGCUGGGACUCUUUAGCCUGGAGAAG
RNAcentral lists this small nuclear RNA (155 nucleotides) under Calidris pygmaea (Spoon-billed sandpiper). Its description in RNAcentral is "U2 spliceosomal RNA (ENSCPGG00000018277.1)". The stretch from base 1 to 109 matches the Rfam family "U2 spliceosomal RNA". From Rfam's summary of the family: U2 is a small nuclear RNA (snRNA) component of the spliceosome (involved in pre-mRNA splicing). Complementary binding between U2 snRNA (in an area lying towards the 5' end but 3' to hairpin I) and the branchpoint sequence (BPS) of the intron results the bulging out of an unpaired adenosine, on the BPS, which initiates a nucleophilic attack at the intronic 5' splice site, thus starting the first of two transesterification reactions that mediate splicing. The record is from RNAcentral. Lineage: Eukaryota; Metazoa; Chordata; Aves; Charadriiformes; Scolopacidae.